Leopardus geoffroyi (Geoffroy's cat) is the source of this 742-nucleotide long non-coding RNA. RefSeq lists it as uncharacterized. The record is from RefSeq and is a predicted model, not a curated record. NCBI's taxonomy places the organism in Eukaryota, Metazoa, Chordata, Mammalia, Carnivora, Felidae. The transcript is spliced from 3 exons.
CGUAAACGCGCUUGUUCUCUGGACGCCAUCUUUACUAUUGGCAGGAAGACCCGUUGCCAGGGUUACCUGAGGCCCUGAUUUAAUGAGUGGGAUGGGUACCAGAGCUCCAAUAGCAGUCCAACUACGAGAAUAAUUUGUAGAUGGUAGGUGCCCAAUACAAUACACUACUUAUUAAACGAUGAAAAGCAGCGUAUUUCAUGGAGGAAGACAUCUUUGAAUAUGGACUUCACCAUGGCCUGGUUAGCUAAGAGUGUGACUGGAGCUUCCCGUGCAACGGCCCUGCAGAAAACCAACCUCACCACGCAGGAACUUCAGGAAGCAGGUCGCCAACAUCAAAACUUCCAAAAAGCAUCAAAAGAAACAGUUAAAGCAGUCUCAGAGGAGCCUGGCCUGGGGCUCUUCCUGCAGGCUGGUCUACCCCUUCCUUAUGGAAGGAGGGGCAAUCAGCUUUGUGGACAAGAUACACUGCGAUGGGUAUUUUAAGUAAUACAAGCUUGUAAAGAUCAAGCUUCACUAGAAUAUUUUUAUUAAGGGUCCACAAGCACUGGGGCUUACUUCUAGGGACCCAACCAGGAACUACAGAAGCUAAGAAGACCCAAACCAGGCUCGAGCAAAGGGCAGGAGAAAAUUUGGCAGUCUGGUGGGCUGGGUGAGUUACUCAGCAGAAUUGCAUUUGCAGAGGGAGAGUGGAGGCCAGUCAUGCCUGGGGUACCCCUGCAGGGCGGGCAGGGUGGGGAGGGCU